UUGAACGCGAAGAACCUUACCAGCCCUUGACAUGUCCAGGACCGGUCGCAGAGACGUGACCUUCUCUUCGGAGCCUGGAACACAGGUGCUGCAUGGCUGUCGUCAGCUCGUGUCGUGAGAUGUUGGGUUAAGUCCCGCAACGAGCGCAACCCCCGUCCUUAGUUGCUACCAUUUAGUUGAGCACUCUAAGGAGACUGCCGGUGAUAAGCCGCGAGGAAGGUGGGGAUGACGUCAAGUCCUCAUGGCCCUUACGGGCUGGGCUACACACGUGCUACAAUGGCGGUGACAAUGGGAAGCGAAGACGCAAGUCCUAGCAAAUCUCAAAAAGCCGUCUCAGUUCGGAUUGGGCUCUGCAACUCGAGCCCAUGAAGUUGGAAUCGAUAGUAAUCGUGGAUCAGCACGCCACGGUGGAUACGUUCCCGGGUCUUGUACACACGCAA
This 440-nucleotide ribosomal RNA is filed under the name bacterium CPTAC29. RNAcentral's name for it is "bacterial SSU rRNA". It matches the Rfam family "Bacterial small subunit ribosomal RNA", at positions 955 to 1387 of the family's 1533-position model. The record is from RNAcentral.